UUGCCGCCAUCGCACACUCGUUGCCGUAUGUUUGUCACCAGUGCCUCAACUCGCCGGUGACUCACCCUAUGUUCGUCAUAGGCGCCGCAACUCGCCGGUGACUCCCCACCAUGUUUGCCACCGGUGUCACAACUCGCCGGUGACUCACCUCCAUGUUGUCAACGAUGACACACCUUGUCGACGAAUCGCACAUGGAACUCCUCAUGGCAAUGGUCUCCGCUCCAUGGCCAUCACCUCCUUGCCACCGCUGACGCAACUUACCGGGCAGCAUACCAUUCUGUAUCGCUUGAAUCAACUCGACGAUGAUUGAUGGAGACAUGCACUGACCGCUAACAGCAUCGCACCUCCAUAGGCCGACACACGGCCCGGAGCUUCACGCGGUCGCCGACAAACGCCGUCAUCGCCGGUGCGUCUCUCGCACGGCAAACCAAGCUCUGAUAUCAAAUGUUGGCAUAGCCUUGCCCCCUCUCUGUCACUGGACUGAAAGUAGAAGAAGAAUUGAAGAUAAAAUACAGUGGACACAGGUGUUUCCAGCGCUCCAACGCGAG
Molecule: long non-coding RNA, 548 nt
Filed under: Hordeum vulgare
Lineage: Eukaryota; Viridiplantae; Streptophyta; Magnoliopsida; Poales; Poaceae
Description: long non-coding RNA (HVUL_LNC012331)
Source: RNAcentral